RNAcentral lists this ribosomal RNA (659 nucleotides) under uncultured bacterium. Its description in RNAcentral is "bacterial SSU rRNA". It matches the Rfam family "Bacterial small subunit ribosomal RNA", at positions 94 to 788 of the family's 1533-position model. The record is from RNAcentral.
AGUGGCGGACGGGUGAGUAACGCGUGAGAAUCUGCCUUGGGGUCGGGGACAACCACUGGAAACGGUGGCUAAUACCGGAUAAGCCGAUUGGUGAAAGAUUUAUUGCCCGAAGAGGAGCUCGCGUCUGAUUAGCUAGUUGGUGAGGUAAGAGCUCACCAAGGCAGCGAUCAGUAGCUGGUCUGAGAGGACGAUCAGCCACACUGGGACUGAGACACGGCCAGACUCCUACGGGAGGCAGCAGUGGGGAAUUUUCCGCAAUGGGCGAAAGCCUGACGGAGCAAGACCGCGUGAGGGAGGAAGGCUCUUGGGUUGUAAACCUCUUUUCUCAGGGAAGAAGCUCUGACGGUACCUGAGGAAUCAGCCUCGGCUAACUCCGUGCCAGCAGCCGCGGUAAUACGGAGGACGCAAGCGUUAUCCGGAAUUAUUGGGCGUAAAGCGUCCGCAGGUGGCGAUUCAAGUCUGCUGUCAAAGCACGGGGCUUAACUCCGUAAAGGCAGUGGAAACUGAAUAGCUAGAGUGCCGUAGGGGUAGAGGGAAUUCCCGGUGUAGCGGUGAAAUGCGUAGAGAUCGGGAAGAACAUCGGUGGCGAAAGCGCUCUACUGGACGGCAACUGACACUCAGGGACGAAAGCUAGGGGAGCGAAUGGGAUUAGAUACCCC